AGCCUCAGCCUAGAUGAAAUGGACACUACUGUUCAUGGUGUCUGGAAACUGCUAAUGUGGCUACACAGAGCCCCAGGCUAUGCUUUCAUCACGUGAUUUUAUUGCAAUGGUGACCUGUAACAUUC
Artibeus jamaicensis (Jamaican fruit-eating bat) is the source of this 125-nucleotide small nucleolar RNA. RefSeq annotates it as small nucleolar RNA SNORA1. Lineage: Eukaryota; Metazoa; Chordata; Mammalia; Chiroptera; Phyllostomidae. The transcript has a single exon. The record is from RefSeq and is a predicted model, not a curated record.